RNAcentral lists this ribosomal RNA (143 nucleotides) under Diporeia hoyi. Its description in RNAcentral is "5.8S ribosomal RNA". Lineage: Eukaryota; Metazoa; Arthropoda; Malacostraca; Amphipoda; Haustoriidae. The record is from RNAcentral.
CGGUGGAUCACUUGGCCUGUGGAUGCUAUGAAGACCAUAGCUAAGUGUGAGAAUGCCAGCGAGCCGUCGCUAUAUGCGCUGAACAAUUACUCUCAUAUGUCGAAUGCACAUUGCGCCCUGUCCCAGUGGUGACCGUUACACGG